Molecule: ribosomal RNA, 484 nt
Filed under: uncultured bacterium
Lineage: Bacteria
Description: bacterial SSU rRNA
Rfam family: Bacterial small subunit ribosomal RNA
Source: RNAcentral
GAUCCUGGCUCAGGAUGAACGCUGGCGGCACGCUUAACACAUGCAAGUCGAGCGGAGCAAUUACUCGGUAGUAGCUAGCGGCGGACGGGUGAGUAACACGUGGGUAACCUACCCCAUACAGGGGGAUAACGUAUAGAAAUGUACGCUAAUACCGCAUAAGCCAACAGGGAGGCAUCUUCUGGUUGGAAAAGCGCUAGUGGUAUGGGAUGGGCCCGCGACUGAUUAGCUGGUUGGUGAGGUAACGGCCCACCAAGGCGACGAUCAGUAGCCGGUCUGAGAGGAUGGACGGCCACAUUGGGACUGAGACACGGCCCAGACUCCUACGGGAGGCAGCAGUGGGGAAUAUUGCACAAUGGGGGGAACCCUGAUGCAGCCGAUGCCGCGUGAAGGAAGAAGUAUUUCGGUAUGUAAACUUCUAUCAGCAGGGAAGAAGAAAGACAGUACCUGAGUAAGCAGCCCCGGCUAACUACGUGCCAGCAGCUGC